Pectinophora gossypiella (pink bollworm) is the source of this 750-nucleotide long non-coding RNA. RefSeq lists it as uncharacterized. NCBI's taxonomy places the organism in Eukaryota, Metazoa, Arthropoda, Insecta, Lepidoptera, Gelechiidae. The transcript has 2 exons. The record is from RefSeq and is a predicted model, not a curated record.
UUCCAAUUUAUUUUCCAACGCGCGGGAAAAUGGCGGCAAAUGUAUACUUUUUUUUUAUAGUAUAUCUAUGGCACCAAACAAAGUAAAGGUGCCAGUUUCCAGGUCAAAAAAAAAAACAACAACAAUGCUUUUUUGGCGACAUUAUAGUACAGUUACACUUUGUAAACAAUGCUUUUAUAGGCCAUAGAGCGUACACUUUUUCAAAGAGUUUAAUUAUGUAUGUACUUAUAUUAGACUUUUUGGUUAUUUAAAUGCCAGAUUAAAGUAGAGGAGUAGAAAAUAGUAUUUUAUGCAACAGUUGUAUAAGAAGGGUCAAAAAAUGCGAGUGGCGUGAGUUGCGAUGUGAGCCUUGGCGAACAUCGCAAUAAGAGACGCCACGAGCAUUUUUUGACCUAGUUAUACAACGUUGCAUACAAUACUUUUUCUACGACGACGUAAUUUUAAACGAAACACAAAAAUUUUCCAAUUUAUUUUCCAACGCGCGGGAAAAUGGCGGCAAAUGUAUACUUUUUUUUUAUAGUAUAUCUAUGGCACCAAACAAAGUAAAGGUGCCAGUUUCCAGGUCAAAAAAAAAAAAAACAACAACAAUGCUUUUUUGGCGACAUUAUAGUACAGUUACACUUUGUAAACAAUGCUUUUAUAGGCCAUAGAGCGUACACUUUUUCAAAGAGUUUAAUUAUGUAUGUACUUAUAUUAGACUUUUUGGUUAUUUAAAUGCCAGAUUAAAGUAGAGGAGUAGAAAAAAAUAAU